This 73-nucleotide transfer RNA is filed under the name Acidiferrimicrobium australe. Its description in RNAcentral is "Acidimicrobiaceae bacterium USS-CCA1 tRNA-Glu". It matches the Rfam family "tRNA". From Rfam's summary of the family: Transfer RNA (tRNA) molecules are approximately 80 nucleotides in length. Their secondary structure includes four short double-helical elements and three loops (D, anti-codon, and T loops). Lineage: Bacteria; Bacillati; Actinomycetota; Acidimicrobiia; Acidimicrobiales; Acidimicrobiaceae. The record is from RNAcentral.
GCCCCCAUCGUCUAGUGGCCCAGGACACCGCCCUUUCAAGGCGGCAGCACGGGUUCGAAUCCCGUUGGGGGUG